AUUGAACGCUGGCGGCAUGCCUUACACAUGCAAGUCGAACGGUAACGGGCCUUCGGGUGCCGACGAGUGGCGCACGGGUGAGUAAUACAUCGGAACGUGCCCGAUCGUGGGGGAUAACGAGGCGAAAGCUUUGCUAAUACCGCAUACGAUCUACGGAUGAAAGCAGGGGACCGCAAGGCCUUGCGCGGACGGAGCGGCCGAUGGCAGAUUAGGUAGUUGGUGGGAUAAAAGCUUACCAAGCCGACGAUCUGUAGCUGGUCUGAGAGGAUGAUCAGCCACACUGGGACUGAGACACGGCCCAGACUCCUACGGGAGGCAGCAGUGGGGAAUUUUGGACAAUGGGCGCAGGCCUGAUCCAGCCAUGCCGCGUGCAGGAUGAGGGCCUUCGGGUUGUAAACUGCUUUUGUACGGAACGAAAAGCCUUCUUUUAAUACAGGAGGGUCAUGACGGUACCGUAAGAAUAAGCACCGGCUAACUACGUG
RNAcentral lists this ribosomal RNA (482 nucleotides) under uncultured bacterium. RNAcentral describes it as "partial 16S ribosomal RNA". It matches the Rfam family "Bacterial small subunit ribosomal RNA", at positions 30 to 507 of the family's 1533-position model. The record is from RNAcentral.